GAUAACUGCUCCCAGCACUUCUGAUGCCCCUCCACCUUCUGGGCUGUAACCGCUGAUGCUGUGGCAGUGUCCCGGGAUGCUUCGGAAGUGAUGGAUUGAGGCACACACGUAAUGACCUGUUCCAGUCAGAAACUGAGACAGCCUCAAAAGGAGUUGCCAACCAGAUCUAUAGAGUGAGACAUGUCGAACAGCUCAGUCCUAAGGCAUUUGCCAUGAAGACUGUGUGAGCCAGUACUCUCACUUAGCAGCUACCUCAUUUCUGGGAGAUGUUUCAUUUCAUCAGACAGCUUUCUCCACAACUGAACAAGCACAAACAAAAUGGUAGGUGAUGAAGGACAGUUGUGCAUUUCAGCAGAGGAGGAAUUCACUUAGGGGAUAUUCGAGGACUGUUCCUGUUUUAACUCCUAACUUACCAUGUCCUUAUCUUGUUUUCUUCCUCUGUGUAAUGGGUUAAUGCUUCAUUCCUGUAUUUUGGAAACUUUCUGUAGUCAGAGGGUGUCUGGGGGGCAGCUGUGUGACAAUUUACUACCAUAAUGAAACAGGUAGGCUGGUAACCACAUCCCAUCACUUAUCCAGCAAAUUGUGUCUGCAUUAGUCCAGCCUCCUUGUAAUUGACCCUGAGCUGACAGGUAUGGGAGGAAGACCACUUAAGCCUUCCAAAUCCAUCACUGCCUUUCUCGUGAGAUAACACAGAUCCCUGUGAUAGACUCAUCACGCAGGGAGGAGUGACGUUAAGUCCUGAGAAAAUGGCAGUGAGGGCAGAUACCAUCAUGACACAUAACCACUCUUCAGAGCUAUCCUGGAGGAAAUAAGUUUGUUAAAAUCUUGGGAUGUGGGAUUGUUUUCAGGGAUGAAAGCAUGCAAACAUGCAGAUAUAGCAGCAUUGCCCACCAAUACGCUCACACAGGCUUGUCUAUCUUCAGCUUCUGUGCCUGCAGUCAUAUGAAAGCUGUACACCUGAAGUUAUAGAAAUCCACAUGCUUUGAUUGCACCCUGAAUAAAAUAAGCCUUGCAGCUCAGAUCAAUAUAUUGAACUUUAACUCUGCCUAUAAAACAGAAAAUCCAGAUGUCAAGUCUAUUUUUAAACUGUAGCAACAAAAGUGAGUUUGAUGUGCUUGAUAAAGCAAGUUUUCAGUGUGUGCCGCGCUACCUGAGGCCUCACAGAAGGGUUUGCAGGGUGAAGGAGCUGGCUGGGCUAGUUGUGUAACUCGGUGGAUGUUUCAGCCCGGGCAGGAGCUGCUGGUAGGGUGACCGGAGCAAAGAAUCAUUGCUUUAUGCACAGGCAGUACCAAGCAUUGACUGCUCUGUACGUUUGUCAUUAUUUUGGGCUCAUUCUUCAUCCUAAAUUAGGUUG
Non-coding RNA from Anas platyrhynchos (mallard), 1354 nucleotides. The record is from RefSeq and is a predicted model, not a curated record. Lineage: Eukaryota; Metazoa; Chordata; Aves; Anseriformes; Anatidae.